Molecule: non-coding RNA, 98 nt
Filed under: unclassified sequences
Description: DUF3800-VII RNA
Rfam family: DUF3800-VII RNA
Source: Rfam by way of RNAcentral
AGUGAGUUAGUAGUUCGCUGAGUAACUGAAGGGUGCAUUAUUUGUACCAGCAAGCUUGCCUUGUGGGAUCCUUCAGUCAGGGGAAAGCUCACUUUUUU